UUUGCCAGAGGAUGGAAGCUACGAUCUCUUUGGAAGGUAAAUCCACUUGACUUUCAAAAACUUCUUCAAGCCACGCGUCCAUUCGAUUUCUAUUAUAGGUUGAAUGAGGAAUUUGUAUUUUUUGGUGGGACCAAAUCUUUGAUGUCCAUGGGCAAAACAACAGAAAGUGUUCGGUAGUUUCAGGGGUGUGCAUAGAACAGAGUUGACAGAGAGGGUCUGGUAAAAUGUGUCGUCGAAAGAGAUUAAAUUUGGUAGGGAGAGCAUUAUGACACAAUGACCAGAUAAAAACUUUAAUCCUGGGAGGGGUAUUGAGAUGCCAUAUAGAUCGCCAGAGAUGGGCUGAUGGCUUAUAAGAGGAUGAGGGAAGGUUGGGGUUCGUAGGGUAGGCUAAUUGUCUAAGGAAGUUAUAGGCCGAUUUAACUGAAUACUGACCUGAGAUUGUUCCUGUCCAGAUGAGAUGGUCAGCUGAAGGAGCAUGACUUAAUGGAAUAGUGAGUAUCUCCUCAACAAUAUGCCGGUCAAAAUGCUGAUGAAGAAGAGAAAGAUUCCAAACCUGAGCAGGAGAGGUUAUGAAGCCAGCAACCAGAUGAGAUUCUGAUCGAGGUGCUGGUCCACCUAUUAUGCCAGAGGUA
This 632-nucleotide long non-coding RNA is filed under the name Eucalyptus grandis. Its description in RNAcentral is "long non-coding RNA (EGRA_LNC001375)". The record is from RNAcentral. Lineage: Eukaryota; Viridiplantae; Streptophyta; Magnoliopsida; Myrtales; Myrtaceae.